Molecule: long non-coding RNA, 488 nt
Organism: Carassius carassius (crucian carp)
Lineage: Eukaryota; Metazoa; Chordata; Actinopteri; Cypriniformes; Cyprinidae
Exons: 4
Source: RefSeq, a predicted model, not a curated record
CUUUAAGUAAUGGAAACCCCCAGCGUAUUCAUUUUUUGCCGGAUAAUGGCCUAAAAUGGGAUUUUAAGUAGACUAUUACUGCAAAUAUAUUGAUAGUAAUGCUAACGGAAUAAGGAUUUCUCCCUCUUUAUUCCCCCAGUCUGGGAUCCUCUCCGCUCAGCAGUUAUUGAAGUGAGGAGAAGGUAUGUCUCCAUGGCAACCAGCCCUCUCUAAUCUUCCAAAGCAUCUCCGGAUGAGUUCCCGAGGAUGAAAUCUGCUACUAUCAAGGGGUGAAAUGUGACCUGGGCAUAUUUACUGAGAUGCAUUCAGGUAUGGAUCUCAUAAAUGUUGAGCUAAUGCUUUGAAUGGAAACAUAUAUAAACCUCUUUAUACUUUGGUCACAAUUUUUUAAAUGCCCCCAGAAAAUGCCAUAACUGAUAGUAGCUUGUCCAUUGUCACUCUACAGUUGCAAGGCUAAUAAAAGCACACAAGAGGGCAGUAUGGCACUG